Molecule: long non-coding RNA, 1906 nt
Organism: Aotus nancymaae (Ma's night monkey)
Lineage: Eukaryota; Metazoa; Chordata; Mammalia; Primates; Aotidae
Source: Ensembl
CUUGGUUUUUUUCGUUGAGGCGGAAGUUGUGCAACAUGAAAUCGUCCGACGGCGUGGGGCGCGGGGACGGCCGCCUCCGCUGCAGCCAGACACCCCUCCUCUUUCUUGUCUUCAGCAGAAGGUGGCGUGAAAAAGGAGGGGAGAAGCAGAGACGCCAAAAAGAGACGCCUAGCGAAGAAGGGCAGGAAGGGCAGCUUCCCCCGGGUCAUCCCCCCCGACUGCGUCAUAGUCGACUCAGACAACUUCAAGUGUAUCCUUUGAUGGACGUGGGGGCGGAGGGCCCAGACCCCGCCCCAUGCUCCUGUUUCUCCUUAACUGGAACUCAGUCAUCGUGGACCCGUGUGAGGAGGCCCAGGGCCCAGGUGGGUGCUGCACAGGGCUCCCCGCUCAGGCACACGCUGGCCUCCGCCUCCUGCUGGCCUGCGGUGGUGGGUAGCAGCUGGUACCCGCCUCCUUGAGGUGCUGAAAUCAGCAUACGUGCUUGCCCUGUUUCGGCUUUAAAUAUUUUAAUUUGUUGGGGUUUUCUCUCUUGCUAGCCUGGUUCUACCAUAACCCUACUGGCGCAUGGCAGGGCACUGACAUAUCCGCCCGCCUUCGCUGUGACCCCUCCCCAGGGACCCCGGCCCUGCGCACCCGUGUGUGACAGAGCACGUCAUGUGUCUCCGCCCCAUUCUCCUUGUAGAAAUGCUGACUCCUGUCUCCAUCACCCAAGAAAUUUUGGAAAGAUUCCAAGACACAUUCACGUCGCGAUGGGUGGGACAUCUGGGAAGCAGGCAGUUUCCCAGCCAGGCCCAGUGGGAGCAGGCCCUGGGCAGCUGCAGCGGCUUCUUCUUCUAUGGGAUGGAGCACUUCCUGUCCCAUGUAGUAGUGGAGAGAUUGGUCGCCAUGAACUUGCAAGAGUGCCAGGUGCUGGUCCUGCUGGACCUGGCUCGGUCCUACCAGAGCAUGAGGCGGCACGUGGAGAGCUCGGAGUACAGGAGCGCCUCAAAGCCGUCCCUGGAGGAUCCUGUCGACGUGGCCAUCCUGCUGAGCCUGGUGGGGGUCAAGAGCAUCCUGGAGAACCAGUGGUCCACACUGCUGCAGGACAACGCGCUGCGGGCCAGCGUCCUUUGGGAAAAUCUGUUGGCCGUCGGGAAGCCAGUUGGAGAAACGGUGCGCCUCCUUCAGGAGAUGAGCGGCGAUGAGGCGGUGAACCAAGGUGAGGGGGGCGGCCGGCACGUCCUUCAGCGCCCUCCGCAGCCACUGCCCGUGGGACACGUGCUCCCCACAGCCCUCCAGGGACACGUGUCUCGGCUUCCCCGUGGGGAACUGGGAUUCCAGACACUAGCUAGGAGCCAGAAAGAGGAGGGCUUGUUCUCGCCUGGAAGUUGCCUGCGUCUCUGCACUGCCCCAGCCCCCCGCAGUGGCGCAAGCCUCAGCAGUGACGCCCGCAAUGCCGUGGCUCCGGAACCCAGAGGGAAAGCGUCGCGGUCAUCAGAGACCGCGACAGCUCCAGUCACGCGAACCCCACGAGCCUGGGGCUCUCUGGGAACCAGUGAGAAAUCCAGGGGGCAGCUGUGCCAGGCCCCUCCCACAGCGAGGGCCGGACAUCCCCUGGAUGUGGCCAGGAGUCCCCCCCUGGGAAGAGGCCUCCUGGAAGAGGAAUGCAUGGGCCGAGGGUGGAGAGCAGCCUGACUGUCACAUCACACCCAGCGCCUGUCCCUCUCACGGCCUCACAGGGGAAACGUCGGGAAGGGGCACAGGACAUGGUCUGUUCUCAAACACGGACAGGCGGAACCCCACCCACUCAUCCUUCAGAGUCAGCAAAACCCUCCUGCCGUGGUGGGGGGAAGCGCAGAGAGGAGCUUCACGGGACCCUGAGUCGAAGCGCUCAGCAGCGCACGGAAGGGGUGGUCUGCCCCGCCUA